RNAcentral lists this transfer RNA (74 nucleotides) under Candidatus Gastranaerophilales bacterium HUM_14. Its description in RNAcentral is "tRNA-Arg". It matches the Rfam family "tRNA". From Rfam's summary of the family: Transfer RNA (tRNA) molecules are approximately 80 nucleotides in length. The record is from RNAcentral. Lineage: Bacteria; Bacillati; Candidatus Melainabacteria; Candidatus Gastranaerophilales.
GUCUCUGUAGCUCAGCUGGAUAGAGCGUUUGGCUACGAACCAAAAGGUCGGGAGUUCGAAUCUCUUCGAGCGUA